CCCUUAGAUGUUCUGGGCCGCACGCGCGCUACACUGCUGCAUUCAACAAGCCUAGCCUUGACCGAGAGGUCCGGGUAAUCUUUGAAACUGCAUCGUGAUGGGGCUAGAUUAUUGCAAUUAUUAAUCUUCAACGAGGAAUGCCUAGUAAGCGUGAUUCAUCAAAUCGCGUUGAUUACGUCCCUGCCCUUUGUACACACCGCCCGUCGCUCCUACCGAUUGAAUGUGUUGGUGAGGAGCUCGGAUUGGCAGCAGUUGGUGGUUCGCCACCGGCUAUUGCUGAGAAGUCCUCCAAACCGCCCCAUUUAGAGGAAGGAGAAGUCGUAACA
Molecule: ribosomal RNA, 326 nt
Filed under: uncultured eukaryote
Lineage: Eukaryota
Description: partial 18S ribosomal RNA
Rfam family: Eukaryotic small subunit ribosomal RNA
Source: RNAcentral